This 418-nucleotide ribosomal RNA is filed under the name Onchocerca volvulus. Its description in RNAcentral is "partial 12S ribosomal RNA". The record is from RNAcentral. Lineage: Eukaryota; Metazoa; Nematoda; Chromadorea; Rhabditida; Onchocercidae.
GCGCUUGAGUUUUUAGUUUGUUUUUAUAUUGUUUUUUGUAAAAUAUUUUAAUUUUUUUUUAGUUUCUUAUGGUAUCAAAAAUUUGUUUUUUGAACUGGAUUAGUACCCAGGUAAUCAAAAUUUAAUAAUUCGGGAGUAAAGUUUUAUUUAAACCGAAAAAAUAUUGACUGACUUUAGAUUUUUCUUUGGAAUAUGUGAUUUGCUGGAGAGCCCUCUUUUUUGGUGAAUUUUGUUGGCACAUGUAUGAUUGUUUAGUUUUUAUUUUAUUUUGUAAUGCUUUAUUGUUUUGGCAUUAAAAACAGAUAUAUAUUUGGCUUAUGAAUUUAUGUUUCAUGUGUUACUAUUAUGAAUUUUUUUUGGAUUAGUUUUUUAUUUUUUUUUGAAAUUGGAAAAGAAAGUAAUUUUUUCUUAAUGUUUU